CGUUCCAGCAAGUGCGUAAGCAACCACAAGAGGAGGUGAGGCAAGAUAAUUAGCUCUUGUUAAAGGAUGUACACGACCCUCAAAAUUUCUAUUCCCAGACAAUACAGCUGCUGCCACUAAGUCAUUUUCAGUAAUAGCUGAUGCCACAGCUUCAUCAAUAUCACCUGAAUUGCCAAUGCAAGUGGUGCAUCCAUAACCAACUAUAUGGAACCCUAGCUGAUUCAAAUACUUCUGCAGGCCACUGUUUUCCAAGUAUUUGGUCACAACCCCAGAACCUGGAGCAAGACUUGUUUUAACCCAUGGUUUUACCUCCAAUCCCAGUUCACAAGCUUUCUUUGCAACCAAAGCAGCUCCAAGCAUUACACUAGGGUUUGAGGUAUUAGUGCAACUAGUAAUAGCAGCUAUAACCACAUCACCAUGCCUAAGUUGUGCUGGAG
This 437-nucleotide unclassified non-coding RNA is filed under the name Hevea brasiliensis (rubber tree). The record is from RNAcentral. Lineage: Eukaryota; Viridiplantae; Streptophyta; Magnoliopsida; Malpighiales; Euphorbiaceae.